UAAUACGGAGGGUGCAAGCGUUAAUCGGAAUUACUGGGCGUAAAGCGCACGCAGGCGGUUUGUUAAGUCAGAUGUGAAAUCCCCGGGCUCAACCUGGGAACUGCAUUUGAAACUGGCAAGCUAGAGUCUCGUAGAGGGGGGUAGAAUUCCAGGUGUAGCGGUGAAAUGCGUAGAGAUCUGGAGGAAUACCGGUGGCGAAGGCGGCCCCCUGGACGAAGACUGACGCUCAGGGGCGAAAGCGUGGGGAGCAAACAGGAUUAGAUACCCUGGUAGUCCACGCUGUAAACGAUGUCGAUUUGGAGGUUGUGCCCUUGAGGCGUGGCUUCCGGAGCUAACGCGUUAAAUCGACCGCCUGGGGAGUACGGCCGCAAGGUUA
Molecule: ribosomal RNA, 376 nt
Filed under: uncultured Serratia sp.
Lineage: Bacteria; Pseudomonadati; Pseudomonadota; Gammaproteobacteria; Enterobacterales; Yersiniaceae
Description: bacterial SSU rRNA
Rfam family: Bacterial small subunit ribosomal RNA
Source: RNAcentral